CCCUUAGACGUUCUGGGCCGCACGCGCGCUACACUGACCAGUGCAACAAGCAUCCGUCCUUGGCCGACAGGCUCGGGCAAUCUUUGAACGCUGGUCGUGAUGGGGAUAGACUUUUGCAAUUUUUGGUCUUCAACGAGGAAUUCCUAGUAAACGCAAGUCAUCAACUUGCAUUGAUUACGUCCCUGCCCUUUGUACACACCGCCCGUCGCACCUACCGAUUGAAUGGUCCGGUGAAGCCUCCGGAUUGGCGCGCACCUCGGUGCCGCCGAGAAGUUGGCUAAACCUUACCAUUUAGAGGAAGGUAAAGUCGUAACA
This 315-nucleotide ribosomal RNA is filed under the name uncultured eukaryote. RNAcentral's name for it is "partial 18S ribosomal RNA". It matches the Rfam family "Eukaryotic small subunit ribosomal RNA", at positions 1470 to 1796 of the family's 1831-position model. The record is from RNAcentral.